Molecule: ribosomal RNA, 497 nt
Filed under: uncultured bacterium
Lineage: Bacteria
Description: partial 16S ribosomal RNA
Rfam family: Bacterial small subunit ribosomal RNA
Source: RNAcentral
GAUGAACGCUGGCGGCGUGCCUAAUACAUGCAAGUCGAGCGAACGGACGAGAAGCUUGCUUUUCUGAUGUUAGCAGCGGACGGGUGAGUAACACGUGGAUAACCUACCUAUAAGACUGGGAUAACUUCGGGAAACCGGAGCUAAUACCGGAUAAUAUUUUGAACCGCAUGGUUCAAAAGUGAAAGACGGUCUUGCUGUCACUUAUAGAUGGAUCCGCGCUGCAUUAGCUAGUUGGUAAGGUAACGGCUUACCAAGGCAACGAUGCAUAGCCGACCUGAGAGGGUGAUCGGCCACACUGGAACUGAGACACGGUCCAGACUCCUACGGGAAGCAGCAGUAGGGAAUCUUCCGCAAUGGGCGAAAGCCUGACGGAGCAACGCCGCGUGAGUGAUGAAGGUCUUCGGAUCGUAAAACUCUGUUAUUAGGGAAGAACAUAUGUGUAAGUAACUGUGCACAUCUUGACGGUACCUAAUCAGAAAGCCACGGCUAACUACGUG